Molecule: ribosomal RNA, 468 nt
Filed under: uncultured bacterium
Lineage: Bacteria
Description: partial 16S ribosomal RNA
Rfam family: Bacterial small subunit ribosomal RNA
Source: RNAcentral
GACGAACGCUGGCGGCGUGCUUAACACAUGCAAGUCGAACGGAAAGGCCCGGCUUUUGUGGGUUGCUCGAUUGGCGAACGGGUGAGUAACACGUGAGUAACCUGCCCUUGACUUUGGGAUAACUUCAGGAAACUGGGGCUAAUACCGGAUAGGAGCUCCUGCUGCAUGUGGGGGGUUGGAAAGUUUCGGCGGUUGUGGAUGGUCUCGCGGCUUAUCAGCUUGUUGGUGGGGUAGUGGCUUACCAAGGCUUUGACGGGUAGCCGGCCUGAGAGCGUUGCCGGGCACAUUGGUACUGAGAGACGGCCCAGAAGCGAACGGGCGGCAAUAGUCGGGAAUAUUGCGCAAUGGGCGGACGCCUGAUGUGGAGACGCCGCGUGCGGGAUGCCGGCUUUCGGGUUGUAAACCGCUUUCGCCUGUGACGAAGCGUGAGUGACGGUAAUGGGUCAAGAAGCACCGGCUAACUACGUG